CCCUUAGAUGUUCUGGGCCGCACGCGCGCUACACUGACGAAGUCAGCGAGCAUGUCCUACGCCGACAGGUGCGGGGAAUCUUGUCAAACUUCGUCGUGAUGUGGAUUGAUUAUUGAAAUUCUUGAUCAUCAACGAGGAAUUCCUAGUAAGCGCAAGUCAGCAGCUUGCGUUGAUUACGUCCCUGCCCUUUGUACACACCGCCCGUCGCUACUACCGAUUGAAUGGUUUAGUGAGAUCUUCGGAUUGGCGCCACUGCGGCUCAGCAAUGGGCUCGGUGGAUGCCGAAAAGUUGAUCAAACUUGAUCAUUUAGAGGAAGUAAAAGUCGUAACA
RNAcentral lists this ribosomal RNA (331 nucleotides) under uncultured eukaryote. Its description in RNAcentral is "partial 18S ribosomal RNA". It matches the Rfam family "Eukaryotic small subunit ribosomal RNA", at positions 1470 to 1796 of the family's 1831-position model. The record is from RNAcentral.